CAUUAAGUAGCUGAAAUGUUGCAGCAUUGGUCUCUUAAACCAAAAAAUAGUAAUUUAACAAAUACUCUUAAUGA
Molecule: transfer RNA, 74 nt
Filed under: Appolonius crassus
Lineage: Eukaryota; Metazoa; Arthropoda; Insecta; Hemiptera; Rhyparochromidae
Description: tRNA-Lys
Rfam family: tRNA
About the family: Transfer RNA (tRNA) molecules are approximately 80 nucleotides in length. Their secondary structure includes four short double-helical elements and three loops (D, anti-codon, and T loops).
Source: RNAcentral